Molecule: ribosomal RNA, 406 nt
Filed under: uncultured bacterium
Lineage: Bacteria
Description: partial 16S ribosomal RNA
Rfam family: Bacterial small subunit ribosomal RNA
Source: RNAcentral
AUUGAACGCUGGCGGCAGGCUUAACACAUGCAAGUCGAGCGAGCGGCGGACGGGUGAGUAAUGUCUGGGAAACUGCCUGAUGGCGGGGGAUAACUACUGGAAACGGUAGCUAAUACCGCAUACCAUCGGAUGUGCACAGAUGGGAUUAGCUAGUAGGUGGGGUAAAGGCUCACCUAGGCGACGAUCCCUAGCUGGUCUGAGAGGAUGACCGGCCACACGGGGACGGAGACACGGGCCCGACUCCUACGGGAGGCAGCAGUGGGGAAUAUUGCACAAUGGGCGAAAGCCUGAUCCAGCCAUGCCGCGUGUAUGAAGAAGGCCUUCGGGUUGUAAAGUACUUUCAGCUGGGAGGCGUUACCCGCAGAAGAAGCACCGGCUAACUACGUGCCAGCCGCCGCGGUAAUAC